GUGAGGAAUAUUGCGCAAUGGAGGCAACUCUGACGCAGCCAUGCCGCGUGCAGGAAGAAGGCGCUACGCGUUGUAAACUGCUUUUAACCGGGAAGAAACCCCAGGACGUGUCCUGGGUUGACGGUACCGGAGGAAUAAGCACCGGCUAACUUCGUGCCAGCAGCCGCGGUAAUACGAAGGGUGCAAGCGUUAUCCGGAUUCAUUGGGUUUAAAGGGUGCGUAGGGGGAGCGUUAAGUCAGUGGUGAAAUCCUGCAGCUUAACUGUAGACUUGCCAUUGAUACUGGCGCUCUUGAGUGCGCUUGAAGUGGGCGGAAUGUGCCGUGUAGCGGUGAAAUGCUUAGAUAUGGCACAGAACACCAAUUGCGAAGGCAGCUCACUAAGGCGAUACUGACGCUGAGGCACGAAAGCGUGGGGAUCGAACAGGAUUAGAAACCCUGGUAGUCC
This 445-nucleotide ribosomal RNA is filed under the name uncultured bacterium. RNAcentral describes it as "bacterial SSU rRNA". It matches the Rfam family "Bacterial small subunit ribosomal RNA", at positions 354 to 796 of the family's 1533-position model. The record is from RNAcentral.